UAUAUUAUUAGAAGCGAUGAAGUUUUCCUUGAAUUUGGACGCUUGAGGGAAAUGGAGCAAAUAGCGUAACCGGCUAAUUGAGCC
RNAcentral lists this non-coding RNA (84 nucleotides) under unidentified. Its description in RNAcentral is "Delta proteobacterium c-di-GMP-II sequence". It matches the Rfam family "Cyclic di-GMP-II riboswitch aptamer". The record is from RNAcentral.